This 465-nucleotide ribosomal RNA is filed under the name uncultured bacterium. Its description in RNAcentral is "partial 16S ribosomal RNA". It matches the Rfam family "Bacterial small subunit ribosomal RNA", at positions 28 to 507 of the family's 1533-position model. The record is from RNAcentral.
GACGAACGCUGGCGGCGUGCUUAACACAUGCAAGUCGAACGGAAAGGCCCCUUUGGGGGUCCUCGAGUGGCGAACGGGUGAGUAACACGUGAGUAACCUGCCCUUGACUUCGGGAUAACUUCAGGAAACUGGGGCUAAUACCGGAUAGGAAUCCUUGCUGCAUGGUGGGGGUUGGAAAGCUUCGGCGGUUUUGGAUGGACUCGCGGCUUAUCAGCUUGUUGGUGGGGUAGUGGCUUACCAAGGCUUUGACGGGUAGCCGGCCUGAGAGGGCGACCGGCCACAUUGGGACUGAGAGACGGCCCAGACUCCUACGGGAGGCAGCAGUGGGGAAUAUUGCACAAUGGGCGGAAGCCUGAUGCAGCAACGCCGCGUGCGGGAGGACGGCCUUCGGGUUGUAAACCGCUUUCAGCAGGGGCGAAGCUUGUGGUGACGGUACCUGCAGAAGAAGCACCGGCUAACUACGUG